This 2845-nucleotide ribosomal RNA is filed under the name Rubellimicrobium roseum. RNAcentral's name for it is "23S ribosomal RNA". It matches the Rfam family "Bacterial large subunit ribosomal RNA". The record is from RNAcentral. Lineage: Bacteria; Pseudomonadati; Pseudomonadota; Alphaproteobacteria; Rhodobacterales; Roseobacteraceae.
GAUCGGAUCAAGCGCGAGAAGGGCGUUUGGUGGAUGCCUUGGCAGCAAGAGGCGAUGAAGGACGUGAUACCCUGCGAUAAGCUUUGGGGAGCCGGGAAUAGGCUUUGAUCCAAAGAUCUCCGAAUGGGGCAACCCACCUGAAGCUCUGCCGUUGUCUUCCUUCCGGAAGCCAACGGUUGGGCUAACCAGGUAUCUUGAGACUGAAUACAUAGGUCACAAGAAGCGAACCCGGGGAACUGAAACAUCUCAGUACCUGGAGGAAAGGACAUCAAUAGAGACUCCGCUAGUAGUGGCGAGCGAACGCGGACCAGCCGAGCCAGGAGAGUGACCAGAACCGUCUGGGAAGACGGGCCGGAGCGGGUGACAGCCCCGUAUGGGAAGCUCGAAUGGACGCAUUAAGUAGGGCGGGACACGUGAAAUCCUGUCUGAAGAUCGGGGGACCACCCUCGAAGGCUAAGUACUCCUUGCUGACCGAUAGCGAACCAGUACCGUGAGGGAAAGGUGAAAAGCACCCCGACGAGGGGAGUGAAACAGUUCCUGAAACCGGACGCCUACAAGCAGUCGGAGCCUCCUUGAGGGGUGACGGCGUACCUUUUGUAUAAUGGGUCAUCGACUUGGUCUCACGAGCGAGCUUAAGCCGGUAGGUGGAGGCGGAGCGAAAGCGAGUCUUAAUAGGGCGUUUUAGUUCGUGGGAUCAGACCCGAAACCGAGUGAUCUAGCCAUGGCCAGGCUGAAGGCUGGGUAACACCAGCUGGAGGGCCGAACCCACACCUGUUGAAAAAGGUCGGGAUGAGCUGUGGCUAGGGGUGAAAGGCUAAUCAAACUCGGAGAUAGCUGGUUCUCUGCGAAAUCUAUUUAGGUAGAGCGUCAGACGAAUGCCCUCGGGGGUAGAGCACUGGAUGGGUGAUGGGGUCCCACAGACUUACUGAGCCUAACCAAACUCCGAAUACCGAGGAGCACUAUCUGGCAGACACACGGCGGGUGCUAACGUCCGUCGUGGAGAGGGAAACAACCCUGACCUCCAGCUAAGGCCCCCAAUUCACGGCUAAGUGGGAAAGCAGGUGGGACGACCAAAACAACCAGGAGGUUGGCUUAGAAGCAGCCAUCCUUUAAAGAUAGCGUAACAGCUCACUGGUCUAGACAAGUUGUCCUGCGGCGAAGAUGUAACGGGGCUCAAGCCGUGAGCCGAAGCUGAGGAUGCAUCGCAAGAUGCGUGGUAGCAGAGCGUGGUGUGACAUAGUCCCCUGUCUCUUCUGCAGGCUCGACCUGCAGGGGAGACGCGGGGCUUUCGAUGAAGCCGGGGCGUGAGCCAUCCGGUGGAGAGAUCACCAGCGAGAAUGAUGACAUGAGUAGCGACAAAGGGGGUGAGAGACCCCCUCGCCGAAAGUCCAAGGGUUCCUGCUUAAAGCUAAUCUGAGCAGGGUGAGCCGACCCCUAAGGCGAGGCCGACAGGCGUAGUCGAUGGGAACCGGGUUAAUAUUCCCGGGCCAGGAGGAUGUGACGGAUCGCAGAGCUAGUUUGCCCUUAUCGGAUUGGGCGGGCUGGUGAGCGGUUCCUGGAAAUAGCCCUCCGUAAGAUCGUACCCUAAACCGACACAGGUGGACUGGUAGAGAAUACCAAGGCGCUUGAGAGAACGAUGUUGAAGGAACUCGGCAAAAUACCUCCGUAAGUUCGCGAGAAGGAGGCCCGUCUUGUGCGCAAGCAUGGGGCGGGGGCACAAACCAGGGGGUGGCGACUGUUUACUAAAAACACAGGGCUGUGCGAAGCCGCAAGGCGACGUAUACAGUCUGACGCCUGCCCGGUGCUGGAAGGUUAAAGGGAGGGGUGCAAGCUCCGAACUGAAGCCCCAGUAAACGGCGGCCGUAACUAUAACGGUCCUAAGGUAGCGAAAUUCCUUGUCGGGUAAGUUCCGACCUGCACGAAUGGCGUAACGACUUCCCCGCUGUCUCCAACAUCGACUCAGCGAAAUUGAAUUGCCCGUGAAGAUGCGGGCUUCCCGCGGUUAGACGGAAAGACCCCAUGCACCUUUACUCUAGCUUCGCACUGGCAUCAGGAUUGCGAUGUGCAGGAUAGGCGGUAGGCUUUGAAGCGGGGACGCCAGUUCCCGUGGAGCCGUCCUUGAGAUACCGCCCUUCGCCAUCUUGAUGUCUAACCGCGGUCCGUUAUCCGGAUCCGGGACCCUGCGUGGUGGGGAGUUUGACUGGGGCGGUCGCCUCCCAAACUGUAACGGAGGCGCGCGAAGGUUGGCUCAGGGCGGUCGGAAAUCGCCCGUUGAGUGCAAUGGCAUAAGCCAGCCUGACUGCGAGACUGACACGUCGAGCAGAGUCGAAAGACGGCCAUAGUGAUCCGGUGGUCCCGCGUGGAAGGGCCAUCGCUCAACGAAUAAAAGGUACGCUGGGGAUAACAGGCUGAUACUGCCCAAGAGUCCAUAUCGACGGCAGUGUUUGGCACCUCGAUGUCGGCUCAUCUCAUCCUGGGGCUGGAGCAGGUCCCAAGGGUAUGGCUGUUCGCCAUUUAAAGAGGUACGUGAGCUGGGUUUAGAACGUCGUGAGACAGUUCGGUCCCUAUCUUCCGUGGGUGCAGGAGACUUGAGAGGAGUUGCCCCUAGUACGAGAGGACCGGGGUGAACGUUCCACUGGUGGACCGGUUGUCGUGCCAACGGCAGUGCCGGGUAGCUAUGAACGGACAGGAUAACCGCUGAAGGCAUCUAAGCGGGAAGCCCCCCUCGAAACCAGGUCUCCCUGAGGACCGUGGCAGACCACCACGUCGAUAGGCCGGAGAUGCACGCGCAGCAAUGCGCUCAGUUGACCGGUACUAAUCGUCCGAUAGGCUUGAUCCGAUCCAG